AUUGAACGCUGGCGGCAGGCCUAACACAUGCAAGUCGAGCGGAUGAAGGGAGCUUGCUCCUGGAUUCAGCGGCGGACGGGUGAGUAAUGCCUAGGAAUCUGCCUGGUAGUGGGGGAUAACGUCCGGAAACGGGCGCUAAUACCGCAUACGUCCUGAGGGAGAAAGUGGGGGAUCUUCGGACCUCACGCUAUCAGAUGAGCCUAGGUCGGAUUAGCUAGUUGGUGGGGUAAAGGCCUACCAAGGCGACGAUCGGUAACUGGUCUGAGAGGAUGAUCAGUCACACUGGAACGGGGACACGGUCCAGACUCCUACGGGAGGCAGCAGUGGGGAAUAUUGGACAUAGGGCGAAGGCCUGAUCCAGCCAUGCCGCGUGUGUGAAGAAGGUCUUCGGAUUGUAAAGCCCUUUAAGUUGGGAGGAAGGGCAGUAAGUUAAUACCUUGCUGUUUUGACGUUACCAACAGAAUAAGCACCGGCUAACUUCGUG
This 484-nucleotide ribosomal RNA is filed under the name uncultured bacterium. RNAcentral's name for it is "partial 16S ribosomal RNA". It matches the Rfam family "Bacterial small subunit ribosomal RNA", at positions 30 to 507 of the family's 1533-position model. The record is from RNAcentral.